ACCAUUAGCUUGUUGGUGGGGUAAAGGCCUACCAAGGCAACGAUGGUUAGCUGGUCUGAGAGGAUGAUCAGCCACACUGGAACUGGAACACGGUCCAGACUCCUACGGGAGGCAGCAGUGAGGAAUUUUGCGCAAUGGGGGCAACCCUGACGCAGCAACGCCGCGUGAGUGAAGAAGGCCUUUGGGUCGUAAAGCUCUGUCAACAGGGAAGAAGUUACAAUUGUUUAACAGAUGAUUGUAUUGACGGUACCUGUGGAGGAAGCGCCGGCUAACUCCGUGCCAGCAGCCGCGGUAACACGGGGGGCGCAAGCGUUAUUCGGAAUUAUUGGGCGUAAAGGGCGCGCAGGCGGUCUUGUCCGUCAGGUGUGAAAGCUCGGGGCUCAACCCCGGAAGUGCACUUGAAACAGCAAGACUUGAAUACGGGAGAGGAAAGCGGAAUUCCUGGUGUAGAGGUGAAAUUCGUAGAUAUCAGGAGGAACACCGAUGGCGAAGGCAGCUUUCUGGACCGAUAUUGACGCUGAGGCGCGAAGGCGUGGGUAGCAAACGGGAUUAGAUACCCCGGUAGUCCACGCAGUAAACGUUGUACACUCGGUGUAGCGGGUAUUAAAACCUGCUGUGCCCAAGCUAACGCAUUAAGUGUACCGCCUGGGAAGUACGGUCGCAAGACUAAAACUCAAAGGAAUUUGACGGGGGCCCGCACAAGCGGUGGAGCAUGUGGUUUAAUUCGACGCAACGCGAAGAACCUUACCUGGUUUGACAUCCUGUGAAUAUCCCGUAAUUGGAUAGUGCCUUCGGGAGCACAGAGA
Molecule: ribosomal RNA, 806 nt
Filed under: uncultured Desulfobacter sp.
Lineage: Bacteria; Pseudomonadati; Thermodesulfobacteriota; Desulfobacteria; Desulfobacterales; Desulfobacteraceae
Description: bacterial SSU rRNA
Rfam family: Bacterial small subunit ribosomal RNA
Source: RNAcentral